CUGUAAAGAAAUAUGGAUGUAAUCACCAUGACGUCAUCAACUGGGAGCUACCUGCUUGGUGCAGACACACAGAUUCUGGUGAGGACACAUCUGGAUGCAACGGACCAGUGAAUGCACUGGCUGGUGGGUAACAUGCACUGCCUAGCUUGACAGUUCGAUCUGAGUUUUGUGAGCUGGCUGCGUUGCGCUGGAUGGACCUCAUCUCCAUAAAGUUGAGGUCGAGUCCUGAUUAUGCAAAUUCAGAUAUGGAGGUUGGUCCAUCAACUUGCCAUGAUGUAUAGAUCAUGCACCAUGUGGCUGGAUCUCCUGCUCUCUAUAGAAAAUGAAUGGUAUCCAUCGACUUGACAUCCAUCCAGUGUGUCUGCACCAUAAGGUUUCAUUCAAGGCAAGUUAUUCCAGAGAACUUUGUUUUAUUUAUUUUUUUACCAUUAACCUAUUAAUGCCAGUUGUAUAGACACAAAGGUAAUCAGUUAAGUAAAACUGAUCAAGGGCAUUUUCAUUCAGUCACUUGUUUAGAACAUCAGCCUACAUUAAAAGUAAUACAAGGUAGCCUUGAACAAUGUAUGAUGCACAAACAUUUAUUCAUUGUUUUGUGUGUGUGUGUGUGUGUGUGUGUGUGUGUGUGUGUGUGUGUUGUUUCUUUUCAGGUCACAUCUGGACUGGUGAGACCUCUAUUGGUCUUCCUCACCCUGACCCUGGGCAUUUCCUGCAAAUAUACAGAGCAAAUGAAUACAUCUUUAAUAAUAGAUGUAAUAAAAAUUUAAUAAUAAUAGAGUGCAAUUUGCCCUUGUUUUGUGUCUUAUUGAGUGAGUGGAGCU
This is a long non-coding RNA of Thunnus maccoyii (southern bluefin tuna), 818 nucleotides long. RefSeq lists it as uncharacterized. The record is from RefSeq and is a predicted model, not a curated record. The transcript is spliced from 3 exons. Lineage: Eukaryota; Metazoa; Chordata; Actinopteri; Scombriformes; Scombridae.